Molecule: ribosomal RNA, 567 nt
Filed under: Vishniacozyma carnescens
Lineage: Eukaryota; Fungi; Basidiomycota; Tremellomycetes; Tremellales; Bulleribasidiaceae
Description: partial large subunit ribosomal RNA
Rfam family: Eukaryotic large subunit ribosomal RNA
Source: RNAcentral
GGGAUGAGCUCAAAUUUGAAAUCUGGCGUCUUUCAGGCGUCCGAGUUGUAAUCUAUAGAGGCGUUUUCCGCGCCGGACCGCGUCCAAGUCUCUUGGAAUAGAGUAUCAAAGAGGGUGACAAUCCCGUACUUGACGCGACAACCGGUGCUCUGUGAUACGUUCUCAAUGAGUCGAGUUGUUUGGGAAUGCAGCUCUAAAUGGGUGGUAAAUUCCAUCUAAGGCUAAAUAUUGGCGAGAGACCGAUAGCGAACAAGUACCGUGAGGGAAAGAUGAAAAGCACUUUGGAAAGAGAGUUAAACAGCACGUGAAAUUGUUAAAAGGGAAACGAUUGAAGUCAGUCGUGUGGGAAGUAUUCAGCCGUCUCUGGCGGUGUAUUUGCUUCUCACGGGUCAACAUCAGUUUGAUCCGGUAGAAAAAGGCGGGAAGAAGGUGGCACCCUCGGGUGUGUUAUAGCUUCCUGUCAUAUGUGCCGGACCAGACUGAGGAACGCAGCUUGCAGCAAUGCCGGGGUUCGCCCACGUACAAGCUUAGGAUGUUGACAUAAUGGCUUUAAACGACCCGUCUUGA